This 76-nucleotide transfer RNA is filed under the name Lentisphaerota bacterium. RNAcentral's name for it is "Lentisphaerae bacterium tRNA-Thr". It matches the Rfam family "tRNA". Rfam says of the family: Transfer RNA (tRNA) molecules are approximately 80 nucleotides in length. Lineage: Bacteria; Pseudomonadati; Lentisphaerota. The record is from RNAcentral.
GCCAAUGUAGCUCAGCUGGUAGAGCAGCUCACUCGUAAUGAGCAGGUCGUCGGUUCGAGUCCGACCAUUGGCUCCA